RNAcentral lists this ribosomal RNA (436 nucleotides) under Camaena hahni. Its description in RNAcentral is "partial 16S ribosomal RNA". It matches the Rfam family "Archaeal large subunit ribosomal RNA", at positions 1901 to 2676 of the family's 2987-position model. The record is from RNAcentral. Lineage: Eukaryota; Metazoa; Mollusca; Gastropoda; Stylommatophora; Camaenidae.
AAAAACAUAACCAUAUGUAGAAUAUAUAUGGCGAUUUCUGCUCAAUGAUAUUUAAAUAGCCGCAGUACUCUGACUGUGCAAAGGUAGCAUAAUAAUUUGGCUUAUAAUUGAAGUCUAGUAUGAAUGAAUUCAUGGGGAGUAACUAUAUCAGCAUUGCGAGAUGAAAUUACUUAUUACGUGCAAAUACGUAUAUUUAAAUAAAAGACGAGAAGACCCUAGAAAUUUUAAUUAAUUAUAUUAAACCAUUUUUGCUGGGGCGGCAUAGUAACAAUGAACUUACAAUAUUUGACAUGUAGCGGAUAGCAGGACGAUAAAAUUACUCUAGGGAUAACAGCAUAAUUUAUUAUAGUUUGUGACCUCGAUGUUGGACUAGGAAGUUGAAAUUUAGAAGAUGUACAAAUUUGCUCUGUUCGAGCAAUUAAUCCUACGUGAUCUG